UGGGGAAUAUUGCACAAUGGGCGCAAGCCUGAUGCAGCCAUGCCGCGUGUAUGAAGAAGGCCUUCGGGUUGUAAAGUACUUUCAGCGGGGAGGAAGGGAGUAAAGUUAAUACCUUUGCUCAUUGACGUUACCCGCAGAAGAAGCACCGGCUAACUCCGUGCCAGCAGCCGCGGUAAUACGGAGGGUGCAAGCGUUAAUCGGAAUUACUGGGCGUAAAGCGCACGCAGGCGGUUGAUUGAGUCAGAUGUGAAAUCCCCGGGCUUAACCCGGGAAUUGCAUCUGAUACUGGUCAGCUAGAGUCGUGUAGAGGGGGGUAGAAUGCCAUGUGUAGCGGUGAAAUGCGUAGAGAUGUGGAGGAAUACCGGUGGCGAAGGCGGCCCCCUGGACAAAGACUGACGCUCAGGUGCGAAAGCGUGGGGAGCAAACAGG
Molecule: ribosomal RNA, 429 nt
Filed under: Chloroflexota bacterium
Lineage: Bacteria; Bacillati; Chloroflexota
Description: Chloroflexi bacterium partial 16S ribosomal RNA
Rfam family: Bacterial small subunit ribosomal RNA
Source: RNAcentral